Molecule: long non-coding RNA, 31716 nt
Filed under: Capsicum annuum
Lineage: Eukaryota; Viridiplantae; Streptophyta; Magnoliopsida; Solanales; Solanaceae
Description: long non-coding RNA (CANN_LNC009384)
Source: RNAcentral
AACUUUAUCCAAAAUAAUCAAAGAAUAAGGUGAAAAGGCGAAACAUUCAACAUUAACUAUUCUUUUCAACAUAAAGAAAAUAACUUUACAUGCUAAAAAUAAACAUAUUCAACAAUAAUGAGUUUAAACAAGACAUGAUUAUAUUUUUCAAGCAAAGAUCUAAACUUUAUCCAAAAUAAUCAAAGAAUAAGGAGAAAAGGCGAAACAUUCAACAUUAACUAUUCUUUUCAACAAAAAAAAAAUAACUUUACAUGCAAAAAUCAAAUAUAUCCAACAACAAUGAGUUUAAACAAAGCAUAAAUACAUAUUUUAAGCAAAGAUUGAAACUUUAUCCAAAAUAAUCAAAGAAUAAAGUAAAAAAAAAAAAAGACACAUACAACUAUUGUUAGCUCAUUUUUAUAUCAUGAACAUGAAAAUAAUUAGAAUAUCGAUACCACAACGUCCUAGGGCCUUUAAGGCCAUCUACAACAUAAAAUUCCAGCAAACAAAAUUAUAUCUACGAACUAUGAAGAAGAAAAAAGAUGAAGAAGAAAACGAUAAUAAAAACUAAAAAAAAAUGUUUGUUUACCUUUUUGGGGGCAGCAAAACGAGACUACGAGUUUCGUCGGAAUCAACCACCACUAAAAAAAUGUCGUUGGCAACUUGAAAUUUUUUAUUAGCUGACCAACUCUAUAAAACAAAAAUUUUUACUAAAUAAAAAUAACUAUUUUUCUCUUUUUACCUUUCUAGCAUUUUUUUCCUUACUUUUUAACCAAAGUAGUGGUAGUAUUUAUAGGAGAGAAUGAGAUUUAUUUUUUCCACCAAUGUGGGAGAAAAGUAUUUAUUUAAAAGGAUGAGGAUUUAUUUCUUGUCCUCCACCAAUGUGGGAGAAAAAGCAAAUAAAGGUGUUUUUGAAAUUUUAAAAUUGAAGAUAAGGUGAGGUGGAAGAUAAUGUGGGGAAAAAUUGUACAAUGUAGUACAACUUUUGAAUUUCAAAAUUGGGAAAAGACAAAAUUUGGGGGAAAUAGUACAAUGUAGUACAAUUUGAAAUUAUUUUUUUGUGGAAUUAGGUAGAAGUUAUGAGAGUUUUGGAGAAUUUUGGGGUUAUUUAAAAUAUAACCUCAAUUGAGAUUUAAAAUUUAGUCAUAUUUAUUUAAUUUUGACCAAAUUACAAAUUAAUUGACGGAUUGCAUUACAAUUAUGGCCAAUUUGAUUUCAAUUAUGGCCAAAUCUACUUGAUUGACUAAAUUAAAUUGAACUUCGAUGCGAAUUAAUACUUUCUUUAAUCCCGGGCUUCUUGAUUUUAUAAAAUCAAACACAUAUUUAUCCGAAUAAAUUAUUUUUUGAGAGUAGAUUAUAUUUAAAUCAAAACUUUAAUUAUUUGAAUCUAUAAACCUUGAUUAAAAUCCGAUAUUUUAAAAAAUAAAUAUUUAAGUAAUAAAAUUAUAAAAUCUCGUAUAAUUGAAUACGAUAAAUUAUAAUCACUACUUAAAAUGAUAAAAUUAAGUACAAAUAUAUUUAAUAAAUUUUUAUUCGGAUGAAAUAAAUAUUUUAAUUUUAUUAAAAAUCAAAGAAACUCAGGAUUAAAUUUAGUCGUAGAGGGAAAAAAUUAGGUGUCAACUAUUGUCCCUCCCUUUGGGUAGGGUGGAUGCAAGUAACCCUGGGCAAAGGGAGGUUGGCGUUCCUAAUUUUUGUCCGGCCAUAGAUUCAUACCUGAAUAAGUUACGACCGGACCUCGGUAUUAGGUUUCCUACAUAUCUCAGGUUACAUGAGAAUUCAGGCCAUUUGUAGUUAGACUCACCCACUAUUACGGUUUUAGAGUUUUUGGUUAAACCGAGAAGCUGGGGAAUAAACGGAUUUAGGGGAGGUUGGAAUGCAGUUGAGUUUUCCACGUAGAACCCAACCUACAUAUCUCGAAGACUCAGGGAAUCAGACUGCUUGUAGUUUGACUCAAUCGGUAGAAAAGAUAGCCUUUUAUUUCAAACGAUCUUUGGCUCAGUCUGAGUGACAAGUUGAUUGAGUUGCAGAAAAAAGGAUUGUAACAUCUUAACCAUGAACGUGGAGCUCUUCACAUCCAUAGGUAAGAAUUUACCUGGACAUAAUUUGCAAAACUCUAGGUGUGUUGUCACUCGUAUUUGAAAGAAAGAGAACUUUACCCUCGGUAUGAGUUUACGAAUAUCCCAAAGGUGAAGCUGAAACCAGAAUAUCCCAGAAUUCCCACAUGCCUUCUAAUAGGGGUAUGGUUGGAUGGUGGUUGCGAUCAUCCUUUAGCUCGCAUCCAAAGAGUUUGACGUCCCUCUUUAGACUAUGUCCCAUUUUGCUGCUAAGAAAGAAUUCCAUGUUGUGCUGCGUCCUUUUUGGAGUCGUCCGCACCUGUGGUUUUAAUUUAAGAUUUUCAUCCGCUCAGAUUCUCUCGACAAUAUCUCAAGCAAAAAGUGUUAGUGCUAAACAUAACUCACAAAAGAGGUAUGUAGUCUUUUACCAUAUCUCUACGUGAGUUGUGGUCUGAAAAGCGGAGUCAUAUCUUCAUGUACCUGUUUGGAAUGAAAUAACUGGCAACAACAAACACAACAACCCUCUUGGUUGUUGUAUAAUUAUGAUAUUUGUUGGUUGAAUAUGUCUUCAAAGUGGGGUGGCUCUUUUGGACACCGGCGAUACUUUAUGCGGAACGGUCCCUACAACCGUGUGAUCUUGUGUUGGUGUGGCAACCCUUUUGGUUACCUAUAUCACUUGUUGUAUGUGGAAAGAUAACCUCUUCGAUUAUAACCGAUGAUCAAUUUAUAAAUUUUUCUUAAAUUAUAAAUCUUUGGAUAAUCUUGCAUAUUAUAUGAUGUUGGAUACAAGGCGACUUGCAGAUAUCCUUUGAAUUUCUAGGUUUAAGGUAAUCCUGCACAUUAUCCGACAUUGGAUAAGAUAUGACUUAUAGAUAUCCCUCGAAUCGCUAGCUUUCAGGUGUUUCUGCACAUCAUCCGACCUUGGAUACAAUAUGAGUUAUAGAUAAUCUCUCAAAUUAUUAGUCUUUGGGUAAUCCUGCACAUAAUCGAUCUUGGAUAUGACGCGGCUUAUAGAGAACCCUUAGACGUAUCAAUUUGAUAAUCUUGUAUAUUCUCCGGUAAGGAUUUAGUUGCGACUUAUGGAUAACCUUUGAACUAUCGAUUUUUAGGUGAUCUUGCACACUAUCCGGUUAGGAUUUUGUUGAGAUUACGGAUGAACUAUAGGAUAUCAACUUAUAGGUGAUCUUGCACACUAUCCUAUUUCAAAUAAUAUGACUUAUAGAUGACCCUCAAAUUGUCAAUUUCUAGAAAAUCUUAUAUAUCAUUCAUCUUUAGAUAGCGACUUAAAGGCGGCUCUUCAAAUCGUGUGCUCUCGAUACAUUCAGAUGCUGAUUCAUAAAAUGAUGAGAUAUCCUUAACGCUAGCAUUUGUGUCUUGCGUGUCAACAGAUAUAAAAUGAUGAUGAUAUCUUCGACGCCAGUGUUUUGUCUUGCAUGUCAACAGAUAUAUUGAAUGUUGAUGAUAUCCUCGACGCCAGUGUUAUGUCUAGCGCAUCAACAAAUAUUGAAUAAUGAUGAUAUCCUCGAUACCAGUGUUGUGUCUUGCGGGUCAACAGAUAUAUUGCUAAUGAUAUCCUCAAUGCCAGCAUUGUGUCUCACGUGUCAACAGAUAUAUGAAUGUUGAUGAUAUCCUCGACGCCAGCAUUGUGUCUCAUAUGUCAACAGAUAUAUGAAUGUUGAUGAUAUCCUCGACGCCAGUGUUGUGUCUCACGUGUCAACAGAUAUAUGAAUAGUCUUCUUUGGAGAUGGUAUAAGAUAACCCUCUUGGCAAUGAUAUGCAAUGGCCUUUGCGGCAAUGAUAUGCAAUGGCCCUUACGGCAAUAAUAUGCAAUGGCCCUUUCGGCAAUGAUAUGUAAUGGCCCUUUCGGCAAUGGCCCUUUCGGCAAUGAUAUGCAAUGGCCCUUUCGGAAAUGAUAUGCAAUGGCCCUUGCGGAAAUGAUAUGCAAUGGCCCUUGCGGCAAUGAUAUGCAAUAGCCUUGCAGCAAUGAUAUGCAAUGGCCUUUGCAGCAAUGAUAUGCAAUGGCCCUCUUGGCAAAUUUUAAAGUAAUUUUACCCGACUUCAUUUGUCAGCGCCUUGCUUUUUACAUGUACCUGUACUCAAGGUAGACGAUUAGUAGACAAAAGUCGCUUUUACUAGCGACUAUUUUUAGGUAACUUCUAAAUACAAUGUUUGUAAAGAAGAAAAGGCGCUUUUGUUUGUCGCCCAUGAUCUCAAGAAAUGAGAUGGACAAAUCAGAAGGUCCUCAAUAAAUGGGUAUUAAACCUAUUUUUAGGGCUACCCUAAACUACCGUUCUUGGGCAUUAAUGCUAUGUUGUGGCUCCCAAUUUGCUCGGGGAUUUUUUAAGGAGACCCUCACUUUCGUGUAUUAAUCCCUGCAUCCAUAGAAAGAUGAUUAGUUUGAAUGAAAUUACUCUGUGUUGACCUUCUUCGAUCCUUGAUUUGCUGUUUUCCAUCUCUUGGGUAUUCCGCCAUGUCGGUACUUCCAUCCCUGGUGAUGUCUAGGCAAGUGCUAAUAAGUGAGAUGUAAGAUUUUUUUGAAAAUAGUCUUAAGUUAUAGAAAAUAUUUCGAAAGCUUCUGUAAAAGAACGUCUUCCUCCUGGUUUUGACUCUAUCUGACGGAUGAUUUCCAAAGCUCAUGAUCAUUUUUGGAGGUUUUCUUCAAGUAGUUCUAUCAUAGCAAGAAUUGAGCUUGUCUAGACUUUGUCGUAGAUGACUACUUUAAAAGCUUGGCCUUAAUCUUUGGUGCUGGGGGAAUUUGGAAUAUGUUCCAGCAUCUAGUGGAAAUUUUGAGGUCUUUCCUCUAUAUUUCUGCCCCAGUUUAGAGUUGUUUGAGAUGAUACCAACUCGAGUGAAUCUGAAGUCUUUGCUGAUCUUUAUUCUCUUUGUUGGACGUCGAUCUUCUCUUGUGAAUUUUUGAGAUUCCUUCUCAAAAAUUUUGUCCUAGUUUCUAUUUCCUGGGGUUAUAUGACCCGAGUCGUUGGGGCACCUACGUAUCCCGUUGAAGCAGGAAUCAGGUCAAACGUAGUACAAAACUACGCUAAGGAUAUUUAGAAAAAUCUAAUAGGUUGACCGAAGCCAACAUAGGCCGCCUGCGUAGCUGAUUCUUGAGAAUUCAGGUCAUCACGUAGUUCAUACAUAAAAGGAAAGGAUAAAUUUUCCUAAGGGAUUGAUCGAAGCCGACAUAGGCCGCCUACGUAUCUCAUUCUUGAGAAUUCAGGUCAAACGUAGUUCGUACAUAAAAGGAAAUGAUAAAUUUUCCUAAGGGAUUGACCGAAGACGACAUAGGCCGCCUACGUAUCCUUUUUCGGGAAUUCAGGUCAAACGUAGUUCGUACAUAAAAGGAAAUGAUAAAUUUUCCUAAGGGAUUGACCGAAGCCGACAUAGGCCGCCUACGUAUCCCUUUUUGGGAAUUCAAUUCAAACGUAGUUCUUACAUAAAAGGAAAUGAUAAAUUUUCCUAAGGGUUGACCGAAGCCGACAUAGACCACCUACGUAUCCCUUUUAUGGAAUUCAGGUCAAACGUAGUUCGUACAUAAACUCAUAAUGGCCCUAAAAAUACUCUUACCCAUCUUACUAGGAUAUAAAUAAGUACUUCUACGAAUGACAUGACAUUUGCAUUGUGUUUGUCUUGAUAGAACAAAGGAUCAAAUGUCUGUUUUGCGAAAAUUUUGACUUUUGAAGAGAGUCACCACUUAAUUUUGAAAUUGAAUUCAGAAACCUUUAGAGAGUUACUUCAAACGAUUCAAAACAGGAAAAUCAUUGUAAGUUAGAGAUUCUAGAUAAGCGAUUCCUAUUAACAUUAUAGGAAGGUGUUAGGCACCUAAAACGUCUGCUAACUUGCGGUUAUCCGGACUGUUUGAAAAUCGUCUUUUGAUUAACUUCGAAAAGAUUAAUUUGUUGAAAUAGUGAUUUGAUUUUUUCAAAAAAAAAAAAAGACGUGUAAAAUAGAUUUAGGCGACUUAGUAGGGAUUUUAACUAAAGUCUAAAUAAAACUAAUAAACAAAUAAAAGGGGAAGGGAGGAGAAAGUAAAGGAUUUAGGCCAUUAGGCCCAAAUCAACGAGACCUGUCCUAGUCUAGUUGGGCUUCCAGCCCAUUUCACCUGUCCUAAAUUAUUUUUUGAGCCUUUGGCUCGAGUUUUGCUCCACCUGUAUUAAAUACAACUUUGGCUUUGAGGCCGAAAUAAUGAAUAAAUAAAUGAAUAAAUGAAUAAAUAAAAAGAAGACAAUAAUAAAAAUUGAGACUUUUCAAGUCUUUUAGUGACCUCAUCAAUGGGUUUUGACCCAUUUUCCUUCUUUGUCUAUCUUCUAGCACCCGCACGCCAUGUAGAAAUUAAUAUAUGUUCAAGGCAUAAAAGUGACAUAUUUCAAAGUAAAAGAAACUAUCAAGAACCAAUUUUUGAAUGACAAUGAUAAGCACACUUGCACAAGAAUGAGAGUCAACAAAUAAAAAAUGCAAAGCAAAAGUUUCUGAAAUGUAAGUUUCUGAAUAAGCACACUUGCACAAGAAUAGAGAUUUAUUUCUUGUCAUCUACCAAUGUGGGAGAGAAAGCAUUUAGGGGGUUUUUGAAAUGUAAAAAUUAAAGAUAAGGUAAGGUGGAAGAUAAUGUGGGGGAAAAUAGUACAAUGUAGUACAAUCUUUGAAUUUCAAAAUUGGAAAAGGACAAAGUUGGGGGAAAUAGUACAAUUUGNNNNNNNNNNNNNNNNNNNNNNNNNNNNNNNNNNNNNNNNNNNNNNNNNNNNNNNNNNNNNNNNNNNNNNNNNNNNNNNNNNNNNNNNNNNNNNNNNNNNNNNNNNNNNNNNNNNNNNNNNNNNNNNNNNNNNNNNNNNNNNNNNNNNNNNNNNNNNNNNNNNNNNNNNNNNNNNNNNNNNNNNNNNNNNNNNNNNNNNNNNNNNNNNNNNNNNNUGCAAUUAUGACCAAUUUUCAAUUAUGGUCAAAUCUAAUAGAUUGGCUAAAUUAAAUUAAAAUUUGAUAAGAAUUAAUACCUUUUUUUUUUAAUCCCGAGCCUCUUGAUUUAAUAAAAUGAAUGCAUAUUUAUCCAAAUAAAUUAUUUUUGAGAAUAAAUUAUAUUUAAAUUAAGAUUUCACUUAAUUUAUUUUCAAGAUAAGCCUUAAUUAAAUCCGAUAUUUUGUAAAAUAAAUAUUUAAGUAACAAAUUAUAUAAUCUCGUAUAACUGAACACGAUAGUAUAUAAUCGCUACUUAAAAUGACAAAAUCACGUACGAAAAAUAUUUUAAGUUUUUUAUAAUUUGGAUGAAAUAAUUAUUUUGGUUUAUUAAAAACUAAAGAAACUCAAGAUUAAAUUUAGUCGUAGAGAACAAAAAUUAGGUGUCAACAGCUGCCCUCUCCCUUUGGGUAGGGUGGAAGUAAGUAACCCUGGGCAAAGGAAGGUUGACGUUCCUAAUUUUUGUCCGAUCAUAGAUUCGAAUCUGAAAGAGGUUGGUUUUCGCACGAGUUUCAUAGAGUCAUGGCCGGAUCUCGGUAUUAGGUUUCCUACAUAUCUCAGGUUACAUGAGAAUUCAAGCCACUUGUAGUUCAUAGAGCUUGAUUUAAAGCACGAUUUUCAAAAAAUUCACAAGUUAUCUCAGUUUUAGAGCGUUUGAUAAAACUGAGAAACUGGGGAAUAAAGGGAUUAGGGGGGAGGUUGGAAUACAGUCGAGUUUUCUACAUAGAUCCCAGCCUACAUAUCCCCAAGAUUUCAGGGAAUCAGACUACUUGUAGUUUGACUCAAUUGGUAGAAAACAUAGUCUUUUAUUUCAGACCAUCUUUGGCUCGGAAUGAGUGUCAAGUUGAUUGAGUUAUAUAAAAGAGGCUUGUAACCUCUUAACCAUGAAUGUGGGAUCCUUCACAUCCAUAGUCAAGAACUUACCUGGACAUAAUUUCCAAAACUCUAAGUGUGUUGCCACCCGAAUUUGAAAAAAAGAGAAGGUUACCCUCGGCGUGAGUUUAAAAAUAUCCAGAAGGUGAAGCUGAAACCAGAAUAUUCUGAAAUACCCACAUGUCUUCUAACAGGGGUGUGGUUGGAUGGUGGUGGUGAUCAUCCUUUAGCUCGCGUCCAAAGAGUUUGACGUUCCUCUUUAGACUAUGUUCCAUUUUGCUGCUAAGAAAGAGUUCCACGUUGUGUUACGUCCUACCUGAAGUCGUCCGCACUUGUGGUUUUUAUUUGAGAUUUUCAUCAUCUCGGAUGCUCUCAACAAUGCUUCAAGCAAAAAGUGUUAGUACUAAACAUAAUUCAUGAAAGAGGUAUGUACUCUUUACCAUAUCUCCACGUGAGUUGUGGCCUAAAAAGUGAAGUCAUCCUUUAUUGUACCUAUAUCACUUGUUGUAUGUGGCAUGAUAACCUCUCCGGUUGUUGCCGAUGAUCGAUUUAUAAAUUUUUCCUAAAUUGUCAAUCUUUAGAUGAUCUUGCGUAUUAUUUUAUGUUGGAUACGAGGUGACUUACAGACUUUUAGGUUAUCCUGUACGUCAUUCGACUUUGGAUAAGAUAUGACUUACAGAUAUCCCUCUAAUCGCCAGCUUUCAGGUGUUCCUGCACAUCAUCCGACCUUGGAUAAAAUAUGACUUAUAGAUAAUCCCUCAAAUUGAUCGUCUUUGAGUAAUUCUGCACAUAAUCGAUCUUGGAUAUGACGCGGCUUAUAGAGAACCCUUGGACGUAUCAAUUUGACAAUCUUGUAUAUCCUCCGAUAAGGAUUUAGUUGCGACUUACGGAUAACCUUUGAACUAUCAACUUUUGGGCGUCUUGCACACUAUCCGGAUAGGAUGUUAUUAUGGCUUACGGAUGACCUACAGGCUAUCAACUCAUAGGUGAUCUUGCACACUAUCUUAUUUCAAAUAAUAUGACUUAUAGAUGACCUUCAAAUUGUCAAUUGCUAGGAAAUCUUAUAUAUCAUUCAUCCUUAGAUAGCGACCUGAAGGCGUCCCUCCAAAUCGUGUGCUCUUAAUGUAUUCAAAUACUGAUUCAUGAAAAUAUGAUGAUAUCCUCAACGCCAGCAUUGUGUCUAGCGUGUCGAUAGAUAUAUUGAAUGUUGAUGAUAUCCUCGACGCCAGCGUUGUGUCUAGCGUGUUGAUAGAUAUAUUGAAUGUUGAUGAUAUCCUCGACACCAGCGUUGUGUCUAGCGCGUCAACAGAUAUUAAAUGUUGAUGAUAUCCUCGACGCUAGCGUUGUGUCUAGCGUGUCGACAGAUAUAUUGGAUACUGAUGAUACCUUCUACGCCAGCAUUGUGUCUAACGUGUUGACGAAUAUUGAAUGCUGAUGAUAUCCUCUAUGCCACGUUGUGUCUAGUGUGUCGUCAAAUAUUAAAUGAUGAUGAUAUCCUCGAUGCCAGCAUUGUGUCUAGCACGUCAACAAAUAUUGAAUGCUGAUGAUAUCCUCAAUGGCAGCAUUGUGUCUAGCGCCUUAAUAGAUAUUGAUGCAGAUGAUAUCCUCGAUGCCAGCAUUGUGUCUAGCGCAUCAACAGAUAUGUAAUGGCCUAUGCGGCAAUGAUAUAUGAUGGCCUUUGCAGAAAUGAUAUGCAAUGGCCAUUGUGGCAGUGAUAAAAUAAUUUUACCUGGCUUUAUUUGUCAGUGUCCUGCUUUUUACAUGUACCUGUACUCAAGGUAGACGAUUAGUACACACAAAGUCACUUUUACUAGCGACUAUUUUUAGGAAACUUCUAAAUGCGAUACGUGUAAAGAAGACAAAGUGCUUUUGGUUGUCGCCUACAAUCUCAAGAAAUGAGAUGGACAAAUCAAAAGGUCCUCAAUAAAUGGGCAUUAAACCUAUUUUUGGGGCUGCCCUAAAAUAUCAUUCUUGGGCAUUAAUGAUCUGUUGUGGCUCCCAAUUUGCUCGGGGAUUUUUGAAAGAGACUCUCAUUUUGCGUAUUGAUCCCUACAUCCAUAGAAAAAUGAUUAGUUGAAUGAGAUUACUCCAUGUUGACCUUCUUCGAUCCUUGAUUUGCUCCUUCCCAUCUCUUGGGCAUUCCACCAUAUUGAGACUUUCAUCCUAACACUCUAUCCCAAAUGAUGUCUAGGCAAGUACUAAGUAAGUGAGUCGUAAGAUUUUUGAAAAUAGUCUUAAAUUUUAAAAAUAAUUUUGAAAACUUCAGUAAAAUUUUAGAAAAUUUCUGCCAGUCAUGUCAUGUACUAGCUCAAUGAACGUCUUCCUCGCGGUUCUGACUAUAUCCGAUGGAUGGUUUCCAAAACUCAAGAUUAUUGUUGGAGGGUUUCUUCAAGUAGUUCUAUCAUAGCCAAAAAUUGAGUCUACCCAGACUUUGUUACAGUUGGUGAUUUCCAAAGCUUUAACCUCUGGUGCUGGGGAAUUUGGAAUAUGUCCCGGCAUUUGGUGGAAAUUUUGAGGUCUUCCUCAAAAUUUCUGCCCCAGUUUAAACUUGUUUGAGAUAAUACCAAUCUGAGUGGAUCUGAAGUCUUUGCUGAUCUUCAUUCUCUUUGUUGCAUGUCGAUCUUCUCUUGUGAAUUUUCAAGAUUUCUUCUUGAAAAUUCUGCCCCGAUUUCCAUUUCCUAAGGUUAUAUAACCGAGCCGUUGAGGCGCCCACAUAUCUAGUUGAAGUAGGAAUAAGGUCAAACGUAGUUCAAGCUAUGCUAGAGAUAUAGAAAAGAAAUUAAUGGGUUGACCAAAGCCGACAUAGGCCGCCUACGUAUCCCUUUUAUUGGGAAUUCAGGUCAUCACGUAGUUCAUACAUAGGGGGGAAAGGAUAAAUUUUCCUAAGGGGUUGACCGAAGCCAACAUAGGCCGCCUACGUAUCCCUUUCUUGGGAAUUCAGGUCAAACGUAGUUCAUGCAUAAAGAGAAAGGAUUCUAGGCAGUUACACACUAGAAAACAACAUUAUAACAAAGGUGAUUACAAACAAACUAAGAAAACAUAAAAACUAGAACGUUAUUCAAACAUAAUAUCUCUUUACCACAUCAGAAUUGAUUGGUUUGGUCCACUCUGUGCCAUCCAUCUCAAACAAAAUUAGAGCUCCUCCAGAUAGCACCUUGCUAACUAUGUAUGGCCCUUGCCAGUUUGGAACGAACUUGCCCUUGUACUCCUCUUGGUGAGGGAAUAUUCGUUUGAGAACCAGUUGCCCCACUUCAAAUGCUCGAGUUCUUACCUUCUUGUUAAAGGCACCAACCAUCCUGUGUUGAUACAGCUGACCAUGGCAUACAACGGCAAUUCUCUUUUCAUCAAUUAACAUGAAUUAUUUAUAGCGAGCACGGACCCAUUCUUCGUUACUCAGUCCAGCUUCCUGAAUAAUCCUUAGGGAAGGUAUUUCGACCUCAGCAGGUAUCACAGCUUCAUUCUCGUAAACUAGUAAAUAGGGAGUUGCUCCUGUAGAGGUUUGAACUGUUGUUCGAUACCCUAGCAAGGCGUAAGGUAACAUCUCAUGCCAUGAUCUAUCAUUUUUGACCAUCUUUCUUAAGAUCUUCUUAAUAUUCCUGUUAGCAGCUUCUAUGGCUCCAUUCAUUUGGGGACGGUACGCUGUCGAGUUGUGAUGCACAAUCUUGAACUGAUCACAAAUUUCUUUCAUCAAGUAACUGUUCAGGUUUGCCCCAUUAUCAGUAAUAAUUGAUUCUGGCACUCCAAAUCGACAAAUCAAGUUAUUCCUGACAAAAUCUACAACCACUUUCUUAGUGACGGCUCUGUAUGAAGUUGCUUCAACACACUUAGUGAAAUAAUCGAUGGCGACUAAAAUAAAUCUAUGUCCAUUCGAUGCCAAUGGCUCUAUUGGUCCGAUAACAUCCAUGCCCUAAGCUACGAAAGGCCGAGGAGAAUUCAUUGCACGAAUCUCGUGUGGAGGCAUUCGAAUCAGAUCUCCGUGUAUUUGGCAUUUUGGAUAUCUCUGCACAAACUUACUACAAUCAUUUUCCAUAGUCAUCCAGAAGUAACCGGUUCUCAGGAUCUUUCUGGCAAGGACAAACCCAUUCAUGUGGGCCCCAUAAACUCCAGUGUGUACCUCGUUUAUCAACUUAUUGGCUUCCGCCGCAUCGACGCAUAUUAGGAAUCCCAAUUCAGGAGUCCUCCUAUAAAGAAUUUCUCCACUUGGAAAGUAAUUCUUUGCCAAACGCCGGAUUGUCUUAUUUUGGUUGUUACUAGCCUCUUCAGGAUAUAUUCCAGAUUCCAAAUACCUCUUAAUGUCAUAGUACCAAGGCCUUACAUCAAGCUUCUCUUCCACGUGUAUGCAAUACGCGGGUUGCUCCUUCAGGCUUAUUUUCAAAGAAUCGAUGUAGCUCUGAUCCGGGUGCUGAAUCAAGGAAGAUAUCGUGGCCAAAGCGUCAGCAAAAUCGUUUUAUGUCCAUGGGAUAUGUCUGAAAUCAUCAUUUUUGAAUCUUCCGCAUAAUUCUUGCACCAGCUCCACAUAAGGAGUACUCUUGGAGUUUUUUACCGCCCAUUCUCCCCGUACCUGGUGAAUCAGCAAAUCUGAAUCUCCGUUGGCUAGCAAUUCACGAACACCCAUAUCAAGUGCCAAUUUGAGCCCCAAGAUACAAGCUUCAUAUUUAUCCAUGUUGUUGGUGCAUGGAAAAUGUAACUUAGCAGUUACCGAAUAAUGUCGGCCCGUUUCUGAUACCAAAACUGCUCCAAUUUCUGAACCUUUGAAGUUGACCGCCCCAUCAAAAAAUAGCCUCCAUCCGGGGUAGAUUUUUGUGAUAUCUUCUCCUACGAACAAAACUUCCUCGUUUGGAAAGUAUGUCUGAAUGGCUCGUAUUUCUCAUCAACUGGGUUUUUAGCCAAAUAAUCUGCUAAGGCUUGCCCCUUGAUUGCUUUUUGGGUUACAUACACAAUGUCAAACUCACUCAGCAACAUUUGCCACUUGGCUAGCUUUCCUGUAGGCAUGGCCUUCUGGAAUAUAUACUUUAAUCGAUCCAUUCUCGAGAUGAGGUAAGUUGUGUAGGAUGAUAGAUAAUGCCUCAACUUUUGUGCCGUCCAAGUCAAAGCACAACAUGUCCUUUCUAUAAGAGUUUAACGGGCUUCAUAUGGUGUGAACUUUUUACUCAAGUAGUAAAUGGCUUUCUCUUUCCUGCCGGUCUCAUCAUGUUGCCCGAGGACGCAUCCGAAAGCAUUUUCUGAGUCUAACAGGUAAAGCAAUAAUGGAAUUCCUUCUCUCGGUUGGACCAAAACUGGUGGUGCAGACAAGUAUUCCUUGAUGCGAUCAAAAGCUCUCUGACAUUCUUCUGUCCACUCAUUCAGUGCAUUUUUCUUCAACAUCUUGAGAAUUGGCUUGCAUAUGACUGUUGAUUGAGCGAUGAAUCUGCUAAUGUAAUUCAGAUGACCCAGGAAACUCAUAAUUUCUUUCUUGGUCCUCGGCGGUGGCAAGUCUUGAAUUGUCUUGAUUUUGGAUGGGUUUAGCUCGAUCACCCUUCUGCUGACUACGAACCCCACAACUUCCCUGAUGGCACGCCAAAAGCAUACUUAGCAGGAUUUAACUUCAAACUGUACCUUCUUAAUCUAUUGAAGAAUUUCUUCAGAUGAGUUAGAUGAUCCGAACUCUCGUGGGAUUUGAUAAUUACAUCAUCCACGUACGCUUCAAUCUCCUUAUGAAUCAUAUCAUGGAAAAUCGCCGUCAUGGCCCUCAUAUAUGUCGCACCUGCAUUUUUGAGACCAAACGGCAUUACCCUAUAAUGAUAAACACCCCAGGGCGUAAUAAAAGCCAUUUUUUCUGCAUCUUCCUCAUCCAUCAGUAUAUGAUGAUAGCCGGCGAAACAAUCAACGAAUGACUGCAUUUCAUAUUUUGCACAGUUAUCGAUGAGAAUGUGGAUGUUAGGCAAUGGAAAAUUAUCUUUAGGACUGGCUCUGUUCAAGUCUCUAUAGUCAACACAAAUUUGAAUCUUGCCAUCCUUCUUUGGUCAACCAUGUCGGAUAUUUUGUGACCUCGACAACCUUAGACCGAAUUUGUUUUGUCACUUCUUCCUUGAUCUUUAGACUUAAAUCUGACUUGAAUUUUCUCAUUUUUUGCUUGACUGGAUCAAACUCAGAAUUUAUCAACAAUUUAUGUGACACAAUGCUGGUGCUCAACCCUGGCAUAUCAUCAUAGGACCAAGCAAACACGUCGAUAUAAUCCUGUAAUAGGUGGAUGAGCUCUUCCCUUUGUGGCGCCGUGGGGUGGACAAUGAUACUGGUCUCUUUGAUUUCAUCGUGAUCUCCCAAGUUGACUGUUUCAUUUUUUUUCAGAUUGGGUUUUUCGCGAUUCUCAAAUUCCUCUAUAUCUUCAACUAACUGUUCCUCGUCAUUGUCCUUCCAACCAUCAUCGUCCCUUUCAUUUUGUUCGUUCAGGAUUUGACAUGACAUAACAUUGGUAGGUUUUAAGCUACUGUUACUGUAAUGGACAAACAAACUAAGUUAGAUGAUAAGAAAAUAACAAAACAUAUGAAUAGGGGCAUUUUCAAACUAAUAUAGUUUUCCAAAUAAAUUAAGGCCUUUUCAUUAAAAUUUGAGAAAUAAUUACAACACUAUGGCUUGUGACUUGCACAAAUACAAGCCCCCACCUUUUUUGAAAGCAGUAUGAUAUGAAAAUAAAGUUUUGAGAUAUAAAAGGUAGAUCGCGGGGCCUCCUCCAGAUCAUCACCGAUUUUAAAACUAUUAGUAAUUGGCCUUUCAUCUACCACGAUAGGCAACGAGUUAUGAGUGGAGUGGAGGUCCAAUUUUGCAAAUCCUCCCGUGGCGCAAUCUGCUUCACCCCGUUGGACUCUGGGAGAUCUUCUGGUACAGCAUUGCAUCCUUCAAACAAAUCUCCUAUCCCAUCCCCAAGACCAUCAUCAUCUGACAUCUCUCAUAUGGGAAAUGACUGGAACAGGAGUGGCAAAGGCCUAAACAGACUCUUUUCUGGAUCAUCGUCAACUCUAUCUCUUCUGGUAGGCUGAUACCCUAACCUGUGCUUAGAGCUUCUCUCUAGUAUCACAAUAGGCUCGAUAAUUCCUUAUAAAUUCUUGUCCAAGCCUCGACCAGGUUUGAACCUAUUUCUUAACAUCACAGUUGCAAUCAUUUUGUAGACAGAAGGCAUUGAUAUUUUGGGUAUCGAAUCUCUUUUCGCAGUGUUUACAAUUUCCACUGUAUAGAAACUGCUACCUUUUGCAACAUCUUCAAUCACCGGCACAUAACCAUUGGGACGGUCCGCUUGACUUCCUUCUCCUUGGAUGACUACUUCAUGAUCUUUCCAAAUGAACUUCAAUAAUUGAUGAAGUGGUGAUGAAAUUGCCAUUGCCCCGUGUAUCCAUGGUCUUCCCAAAAGCAGGUUGUAGCUAGGAUGGAUAUCCAUAACAUGAAACUUAGUCUUAAACUUAGCAGGCCCCAUUUGGAUGUGCAAAUCAAUCUCUCCUUUGGUAUAUCUCUGUCCUCCAUCGAAUUCUCUCAUAUUUAUGUGGCUUUGAUGAAUUUUCCCCAGAUCAUAGCCUAUUUGGACCAGCGUAGAGAGGGGAUAAAUAUUCAUACCAGAUCUAUCGUCUAUUAGUACCUGAUUAAUUGCAUAAUCACGACAAAUGACAGUGACAUGCAUGGCUUUGUUGGUCAUUGCUCCUUCAAACGGCAACUCUUCAUCACUGAAUGAUAUGCGAUGGUUCCCCACAAAGUUCCCUAUCAUCGCAGCCAAAUUCUCAACGCUCAUUCCUGCGGGAACAUAUGCUUCCUCUAAGACCUUCGAUAGAGCCUAUUGGUGGUGUUGCGAGCUGAAUAAUAGUGCCAAGACAGAGAUUUGGGCUGGCGUUUUCUCUAAGUGUUUGACAAUUGAGUAAUCCUUUGGUUGCGUACGCCUCCAAAAUUCCUCAACCUCUUCUUCAGUGAUUGGCCUUUUCUGUGAAUCUUUCUUGUUGGUCAAUUCCUCAGGGAUGUAAUAUCGUCCUGAUCGCAUCAUCCCCUAGGCAGCGGCGGUUUGCACAAUAAAUUCCUUCUUUGGAGGGGGAGUGUACACUUGAGUUAGUGCAAUCAUCACUAUAAAUGAGGCUUUCUCAUUGAUACUUAAGGCAGAUACAGCUUUCUCUAUCUUUCCUACCUCUUCCGCUCUUUUGCGCUUUUUGAAGUUCACCUGAGUAAUGGUCUUGCCAAAUGCCCAUUCGCCUUCUAUUUCACUCAUGUUAACUGUAGAUCCCCCAUGGUUGGGCAGUGGAUUACUGCUAAUAUUUGGAGUAGGUGCCUGGAGCGUGAUGACCUUUUGAUCAAUCAGAUCUUGGAUUCUUUAUUUCAAGAUAAGACAGUCCUCGGUACUAUGCCCUGCUGCCCCUGAAUGAUAGGCACAAUUUUGAUCAGGGUUGAGAGCUAGGAUUGAGAGGCUUUGGCUGUACUGGUUGCAAAUGACCAGUAUUCUUCAAUCUUUCAAAUAAUUGGGUGCGACUUUCAGCUAGUGGGGUGAAGUUUUGGGGAGGUUUCUUUUCGUGGUUUGGACGCUGGGGGUUAUACGGGCUUAGGUUUGUAGGAGGGGGAACUUGGUGGUAAUUUGGAGGUGUUUGGAAAUUUGUUCGGCUAUUUGGAGGAGUAGUUUGGAAAUGAAACUGAUAAUUUAGAGGUGGAACUGGGUAUUGGGGAAAGAUAUUUGGCUGUAGAGCUUGGUAUGAUGGUGGGAUGUUUGGGAGUGGAGUUUGGUAUUGGGUUUAGAUGUAGAAUGCGUGCGGAAGGUUAGGUGAUGGCAGGAAAGAUAAAACGUUUCUAGAAUUGAACCUUUGUUUCAAUUUUGUAACAGAAUUGGUAGAAACCCCACCUACCUCUUCCUUCUUCUUCUUAGAAAACAUGGCAGUUUCAGAAGAUGUUGGGGUUUUGGCAAUUUUUCCUGUCCGAAUACCUUUCUCUAAUGAUUCUCCUAUGUUUACCAAAUCUGCAAAGGUCACUCUGACAGCGGACACCAUCCUGGUAUAAUAUUAUCCUUCUUAAGCACAAGAGAACAUGGAUACCAUUUCCUCCUCGGACAUGGGGGGCUACAAUUUGGCAGCUUCUUUCCUCCAACGAAAAGCAUAAUCUUGAAAACUCUCAACGCUUUUUUGUUUAAUCCGAUCUAGUAAUAUCGAUCAGGGACUAUUUCAAUGUUGAAUGCGAACCGGUCAAGGAAACUCUUGGCCAAUGUCCUCCAACCAGUCCACCUUUUCGGCUCCUGAGAGAUGAACCACUCCAAGGCUUCACCAAUCAAACUUCGACUGAAUAGGCGCAUUAAUAACGCCUCAUUUUUCCCUAUCUCUACUAGUUGCUCGCAGUACCUUCUUAGAUGGGCCAUUAGAUUUCUGGUACCAUCAAACAUCUCAAACUUAGGGACCUUGUAUUCUUCUGGUAGGUCUACUCCUGGGUGAACACACAAAUCGUCAUACCCCAAACCGUCGUGGUCCUUGGCCCCGUGAGACUCUUUGUUCCUCAUGAUCUACUCUUGCAUGGCUAGUAAAUUCCUUUCAUACUGGGCCCUCCAUUCCUCCUCCUUCUCUUCGUAAUGGUCCAUCUCGGGGUUAGGAAGGGGUUCAUAAAUAUCAGGGGAUAUGAUGGCUUGAGGGGGAUUUGGAAGGAAGGCUUGAUUUUGCAGAUGGUGGGAAUUUGGUUGGUAAGUAGGGAGAACAUUUUGGAAAUUCAAAAGGUUAUGUGGGGAUUGUGAGUAGUUUGGCGAAAUAUGAGAGGGAUUUUGCGGAUUUGGAAAUGAAUUUGGUAUAUUCGAAGGUAGGUUUGCCAUAUUUUGUGUAUUUGGGAGUAAAUCUUGCGGAUUUGGGAAUGCGUUUUGUUGAUUUGAGAAUGUGUUUUGAGGAUUUGGGAAUGGAUUCGAAGACGGGUUCUGUGGGGUUGCGGAUGGAAUUUGUGGAUGGUAGGCGUCUGGAUUAUUUUCACGAUUAGCGUUUUGGACAAAUGAAGGAGUAGAGCCGGAUGAUAUGUUAGUUGGAUGGUCCCCGAGAAUAGGGGUACUGUGGGAAGGGAUUUGGAGUGGAGUCCCGUGUCCCCCCGGAGCAGGGGCAUUGACGGUGAUGGACAAGUUAGCCAAUUCUCGAGUGCGAUUUAUUUCCUCCUGAAGCAAUUCUAAUUUUCUUGUAAGUUCCGCAAUCAUCUCAUUCUGUUCCGCUAUCACAUUAUCCCGGAUAGCCAGUGAGUUUUCUUCGUCAUUUCCUGUCAUUUUUGAAUGAUGGUCCGAGGAUGGGAUUUUUUGUGUUUUCGAUUGGGUGAAGUAGGGAUGUUCUGCCAGUUUAUCAAUACGGAGUAAUUUCUGUUAUCUCAAAGUAAAACAACUCAAAGGUAAAUAUGUUAGUUUCUGUAUGUGAUAAGUAAUGCAAAAUAUUUGACAGGAAAUAAUCACGCAGAGUUGUUCGAGUCAUAGCUAAAUUCAUCUGUAGGUCAUAGUGUAUAAACUUGCCUUUGAUCUCAACCAACGCAUAUAAGCACAUAAAACAGUUAUAUCACACAAGACAUUAAAAUAACGCGUAUCGUAAUUGGGGUGACCCUUUUUGAGCCAAGGGUUCAAGCCUAAUGAUUUUUUGAAGAAAAUAUAUGCUUCCUCAAAGUCAAUCCAUUAACCCCUAACUCAUAUAGACGCAAAAAGAGGCAUAAAUGCCUACAAAAGAUAACGAAACAGGGAUACAAUUUUUAGGGAAAAGGGGAAAUACCAUGAAAGAAGAUAAGUUCCCGCACAGGGAAGAAUAGAAAAGCUAGCUACUGGAGCCUUGUUCGUCUGCUUUCGCCUUCUUUGCCUUGUUUACCUCAUGUGCUAUUUGGUGCCUAUUGAUGAUAAGGUGACUCCCGCAUAAUUGUGCCUUGCAGUCGUAAGUCAUUUCUCCUAUGCUGUCGAGUUGGGAGGCUAUGCUAUCAUCCAAAUCGAUUAGGCAUUGCCUGGCAUCAUCAGCAUCUUGCCUAGCUCUUUUCAACUCUUCCCUCAAUGUAUGUAUGAUCAAAGUGUCUUCCAUUUGCAUCUAUCGGUGCACAAUUUCACUUUUUUGGAACUCAUCUUGUAGCCUGUGAAGCCGAAUUUGAUGCUCGAAUUCUACAUCCACAACCCGAGUAGGCACAUUUGGUCCCAGAUUCAAUGCUCCGGCGAGGCUCUUUUUCAACCACUCUUUGUAAGUGUCGCUGACUUCAGGUUUAUACCCUAUACGGAAAGAGAAUUCUACCCACUUUUUCCUUCUCGGGAUGGUAGGGGCGGGUUCCCCUGAGACUCGGGAGCACUAAAAAAGGCCAUUCGCCCCCUCGAAUGAUGUAUUUCCCUAAACGAAGAUAGUUAAGGGACCAUUGGACAUCGCCAUCUCUUAAUUCUCCAAGAGUCUUAAACCAAAAUUUGUGGGAUGCUUUUCUUUUGAACUUAUGUAAAAAUAACCACAUGUCGUGCGAUUCUAGCAGAUUUCUCCUUGGUUUGUGAUCAGUUUAUGUCGUUCUAGGAUUUUUCACCAAAUGCAUCAUCAUCCACUAUUGUAAUAUAAGGUUGCAGCCUUGAAAGAAACGAUUCUCGACUUGGCAUCUUCCCAAAGCGCGAUAUAUGUCGGUGACAAUCAUGGGGGCUAAGUUGUGGAAUACUUUUUUAGAAUUGUAUUCCAUUCCAAAGAAGAGUGCAUGGGUCACUAUGACAACCCUCGGAUGAAUUGUGUCAUUUUCCCCUACGGGAACACCAUGGUUCUAAGUAGGCCUACCACGAAUCCAAAAGCUCUCGUUUCCUUCCAUUUUGCUUCCGACUUCAAUUUAUGCCCAAAUUUGUGAAAAGAGUUAAAUCUUAUGAACCGACGGUACAACUCAUGAAAAUUGAUAUUUGCUCCAUCCCGUUCUCCUAGCCCGGUGUCGUGAUCAAUUAAAAAUGCUUCCUUGAUCUUCUGACGAUCCCACACAUCCGGGACUAAAAUAUUCUUAUCGGUGUCUCCUUUAUCUUCAAACACAUUUCCGUACUCUCGUAGCAAAUCAAUACCUCUUCAAUGAUGGGGGUCAAUUCAACAUCCCCAAAGUGAAAUACCAUGUUCUGAUCAUCCCAAAAAGUUGUUAGUUCAUGGAUAAUUUCGGGCCAAGUGUCCAUCUCGAUCAAAGAAGGAAGAUGCCCAAUGUGUGUUCUAGCAAUCUUUCUCUCUUCUGUACCCAUGUAAUCCUACCACAGUUUCAGGUAAUCGUCGGGUUUGGUGACCAUCUUGAACUUUCCACGAGAAUGCAAUUGAGCCAUACCUACAUAAAAGAAGACAAAAUAAGCCUUUCCCCGACCCCAAAGGAUAAUGGAUUGAAUUUAGAGAAACAUAUAUUUCUUUAACACAUAAGCAUGGUUGGUCUGUGAUUGACUCGGGGUCAAAUAGAUAUAGGGUAGGUUUUCUAAUAGGCCCAACACCCCGCUCGGAUAUUGGGUCGUCCUAGGCACAUGCCUAAAAUAGAGUUUUGGUUUCGUUCUAUCUUCGGUGUCUAGAGUGGGCUUGGACACUGGUUCUCAAGCGGACAACUUGAGUUUGAAAAUACGAACAGCGUCAGACGACUCACGUGCUGAUAAGUUGUUCGUAUUUCCAACAUAUUUUGGAAUUGAACAACAAGGGUCAGGACAUCCACGAAACCCCAAAACAGUUUAUAAGAUGCAGGAAAUGCCAUAAGAUGCGAUAAUUAAACUUUACAUAAUCGAAACACAUAAACACAUAAAUAGUUAAUCAAAGAUGAAAUAAAAUAUUUGAUUAGAACCUAGUUAGAUCCCCAGCAGAGUCGCCAUUUCUGUUUUGCGAAAAUUUUGACUUUUGAAGAGAAUCGCCACUUAAUUUUGAAAAGGAAUUAAGAAACCUUUAGAGAGUUACUUCAAACGAUUCAAAAUAGUAAAAUCGUUUUAAGUUAGAGAUUCUAGAUAAGAGGUUCCUAUUAAUGUUUUAGAAAAGUUUUAGGCACCUAAAACGUCCGCUAACUUGCGGUUAUCCGGACUGUUUAAAAAUCGUCUUUUGAUUAACUUCAAAAAGAUUAAUUUAUUGAAAUAGUGAUUUGAUUUUUUCAAAAAAAAAAAGACGCGUAAAAUAGAUUUAGGUGACUUAGUAGGGAUUUUAACUAAGUCUAAACAAAACUAAUAAACAAAUAAACACAUAAAAGGAGAAGGGAGGAGAAAGUAAAGGAUUUAGUCCAUUAGGCCGAAAUCAACGAGACCUGUCCUAAUCUAGUUGGGUCUCCAGCCCAUUUCACCUGUCCUAAACUAUUUUUCGAGCCUUUGGCUCGAGUAUUGCCCCACCUAUAUUAAAUACAACUUUGGCUUCGAGGACGAAAUAAAUAAAUAAAUAAAUGACUAAAUGAAUAAAUAAAAAGAAGACAAUAAUAAAAAUUGAGACUUUUCAAGUCUUUUAGUGACCUCAUCAAUGGGUUUUGACCCAUUUUCCUUCUUUGUCUAUCUUCUAGCACCCGCACGCCAUAUAGUGGACCUUGGGUUUAAACUUCAAACUUGACUUGAAGGGGUGAGCCUUAUUUACCCAUUACGAAAUGCAGGAAAAGAGGAGUCCAGUUAGACUCGAGAUAUUUUUUGCAUACAAAGAAAAGAUAAAGAAAUUAAUAUAUGUUCAAGGCAUAAAAGUGACAUAUUUCAAAGUAAAAUAAACUAUCAAGAACCAAUUUUUGAAUGACAAUGAUAAGCACACUUGCACAAGAAUGAGAGUCAACAAAUAAAAAAUGCAAACCAAAAGUUUCACAAUCAUACUAUGCAUGAGUCAAAAAUAUCUAAAUAAUUUUAUUUAGCCACAAAAGUUCGAACUUUCUUAUCAUUUUGAAAAGACAACAUGCGAACAAAGAAGAAUANNNNNNNNNNNNNNNNNNNNNNNNNNNNNNNNNNNNNNNNNNNNNNNNNNNNNNNNNNNNNNNNNNNNNNNNNNNNNNNNNNNNNNNNNNNNNNNNNNNNNNNNNNNNNNNNNNNNNNNNNNNNNNNNNNNNNNNNNNNNNNNNNNNNNNNNNNNNNNNNNNNNNNNNNNNNNNNNNNNNNNNNNNNNNNNNNNNNNNNNNNNNNNNNNNNNNNNNNNNNNNNNNNNNNNNNNNNNNNNNNNNNNNNNNNNNNNNNNNNNNNNNNNNNNNNNNNNNNNNNNNAAAUAAUCAAAGAAUAAGGUGAAAAGGCAAAACAUUCAACAUUAACUAUUCUUCUAAACAUAAAGAUAAUAACUUUACAUACUAAAAACAAAGGUAUCCAACAACAAUGAGUUUAAAAAAAGCAUAAAUACAUCUUUUAAGCAAAGAUUGAAACUUUAUCUAAAAUAAUCAAAGAAUAAUGUCAAAAAAGGCACAUACAACUAUUGCUAGCUCAUUUUUAUAUCAUGAACAUGAAAAUAAUUAGAAUAUCAAUUCCACAACAUCCUAGGGCCUUCAAGGUCAUCUAUAACAUUCAAUCCCAACAAAUAAAAUUAUAUCUAUGAACUACGAAGAAGAAAAAAGAUGAAGAGAAAAACGAUAAUAAAAACUAAAAUAAUAAAAAAAAAAAAAAAAGAGAAAAAAAAGGUGUUUUUACCUUUUGGGGGCAGCAAAACAAAACUACGAGUUUCGUUGGAAUCAACCACCACCGAAAAACAUCGCCGGCAACUCAAAAAUUUUGAUUAGCCGAUCAACAUUAUGAAACAAAAAUUUUUACUAAAUAAAAAUAACUAUUUUUGUUCAAAAGGAUUUUCUUUCCCCUUUCUAGCCUUUUUUUUCUUCCUUCUCCUUCCUCUCUCUACCAAAGUAGUGGUAGUAUUUAUAGGAGAGAAUGGGGUAUUUUUUUUUCCUUUUCCACCAAUGUGGGAGAAAAGUAUUUAUAGAAAAGGAUAGAGAUUUAUUUCUUGUCAUCUAUCAAUGUAGGAGAAAAAGCAUUUAGGGGAGUUUUUGGAAUAUAAAAGUUAAAGAUAAGGUGAGGCGGAAGAUAAUGUGGGGAGAAAUAGUACAAUGUAGUACAAUCUUUGAAUUUCAAAAUUGCAAAAGGAUAAAGUUGGGGGAAAUAGUACAAUUUGACUUUAUUUUUUGGUGGGAAUUGGGUAAAAAUUAUGAGAGUUUUUGAGAAUUUUGGUGUUAUUUAAAAUAUAACCCCAAUUGGAAUUUAAAAUUUAGCCAUAUUUAUUUAUUUUGACCAAAUUAAAAAUUAAUUGACGAAUUACAUUGCAAUUAUGACCAAUUUUUAAUUAUGGUCAAAUCUAAUAGAUUGGCUAAAUUAAAUUAAAAUUCGAUAAGAAUUAAUACCUUUUUUUUAAUCCCGAGCUUCUUGAUUUAAUAAAAUGAAUGCAUAUUUAUCCAAAUAAAUUAUUUUUGAGAAUAAAUUAUAUUUAAAUUAAGAUUUUAAUCAUUUGAAUUUAUUUUCAAGAUAAGCCUUAAUUAAAUCCAAUAUUUUGUAAAAUAAAUAUUUAAGUAACAAAUUAUAUAAUCUCUUAUAACUGAACACGAUAGUAUAUAAUCGCUACUUAAAAUGAUAAAAUCACGUACGAAAAAUAUUUUAAGUUUUUUUCUUUUAUUUGGAUGAAAUAAUUAUUUUGGUUUAUUAAAAACUGAAGAAACUUAAGAUUAAAUUUAGUCGUAGAGAUCAAAAAUUAGGUGUCAACAAUGUCCAAUGGAGUCAUCGCCUUCCUAGUUAACCACCUCUUUUUCCCCUAGAUUAGGCUUCUUUGAUUCUCGAACUCUUUGACUCUUCUGUUGACUGCUCUAAGGCUACCAUUAUUUUGCUUCUUGACAUGACAUGACAAUGGCAGGUUUUAAGUUACUGUUAUACAACGGGCGAUGAGUCAUGAGUGGAGUGGAGGUCCAAUUCAAUAAUGUUUCCUCCAAUUAAUCUUCCAUGAUUCCUAUUGUCUUGAAAAAUUCUUCCCUCACAUUUUUCCUUAUUCCAUCCUCAAAACUAUCGCUUACAGCUUUGAAAAAUGAUUGGUAGAAUCUAGUUUUACUACUAGUCAUUUUUCUUUUCCUGUAACAAAGCUAUAGUCAAGAAGCGAAUCUCUCAUUCAUUUUUAUCUGGUGAAGUAGGGUCAUUUUGUGCCAACACAGAGUAGUUUAUAUUACCUGCAAAGUAAAAAUAACUCAAACGAUGACGUGUUAGAUUCUGUUAGUAAUAAGUAAAGCAAAAUGAUAACGUAGGAAGUAAACACAUAGAGUUGUUUCUCAUCUCAUGCGAAUUGAUCCAUGAAAUAAUAAUGACUCGAGGAGUUCAAUGAACAAGAUUUUGCUCAAUGAUAUGAAUAGGUGGAAUUUGUCGAGAAGGUUCAACUCUUCUUCUUCCUUCAAGAAAGUGGAGGACAACAGAGCUUUUGGAGAUAUGGGUCGGGCUGAAAGACUGCCUACGUAUCUCGCAGAUGAGAAAUCAGGCCCUACGCAGUUCAAAACUAGAACAGUUUUUUUUAUUCUAAAGUCAACUUUCCUAAAAUGGUAGCGAUCAUUUUGAAAGUUUUAAGAAUGACUACGGACUUUUCUAAGAAAUUUAGGAGACUUGGAGUACUUUUAGUCAGACUUUUGUAUAGUAAGGUAUAUUUCUGCCUAGAGAUAUUCUAUGGAAAAUGGGAUUAGAUUAGUUCACCUUUGAUUCGAAUAAACAUAACACGUAUAAGCAUAUAAAUAGUUAUAUUACACAAGCAUAUUGUAAUAAUCGUGCAUCCUAAUUAGGUGACCCUUUUGAGCCAAGGAUUUGGGCCUAACAAAUUUUGAAGAAAAAAUAUAUGUUUGCUUAAGGUCAAUCCAUUAUCCCCAAACUUUUAUAGACACUAAAAGGGCAUAAAUGCCUACAAAAGAUGACGAAAGAGGGAAACAAUCUUUAGGGAAAGGGAAAUAACAUGAAAAAAGAUACGUUCCCACACGGGAUAAAAAAUACUAAUUCCUGAGUGCUACUUCUAUCAGUCUUCCCCUUCUUAGCUUCAUCCAUUUCUUAUAUUGGUGACAUACAUUGAUGUUCAAACUGUACCUUAAAUGCAACCUCCCAAAUAGUUCAAUUUUUUGCUUAACUUGCUUCAAUUCUUCUUACAAAAGUAAGCAAAUCAAGUUAUUUCCCAACUCCCAAAAGAUAAUGGGCUGAAAUAGACAAGCAUACAUUUUCUUCUACACAUAAAUAUGGUUCGUCUAUAAUUGACUCGGAGUCAAUAGACGCAGGGCAGGUUUUCUAAUGGGCCCAAUACCUCGCUUGGGUAUUGGAUCAUCUGUAACAACCCGUAUUCAAGUAAUAUAUUGGCGUAUUCAAGUACGUGUAUUGGUCUUAUUUAUAUGAAAUUAAUUUUAUUUUAUUUUAUUUAUACCGGAAUUUGCCCGUCGAUGGUUCCAUACGAAGGUUAUUGAAUAAGCUUUCCAACGAUAUAAAGAUUUCCAAAAACGAAUAGGUUUCGGAUAUAAUCGAGCACGUUCGAAACUAUAAAACGGUGGCCGGGAUAUUGGGAAUAGUAAAUGUGCAGGAAAAUUUCCUGCACACAAACUACUGAGGUCAGCCAUUUUUUUGGGUCAACUUUGAACGAUCAUAACUACCUUAAUAUAAUGAACUGGGAGAGCUUCCACCUAUGAAAAGAAAGAUCUUUGAGUCUUCUUUCCAAUGCAAUUGGUUUCAUCCAAAUCCGACAUCUGAGUAAUGAGUUAUACUCGUUUUACUUCAGCCUCUCAAAACAGAUUUUUAAGAUCAACUUCAAACAAUCAUAACUCCUUGUACAGGACGAACUGGGUGGCCUAAUUUAUAUGAAAUGAAAUCCCUUUGAAUUAUCUUUCCAACGAUACCAAUUUCACCCAAAUAUGAUAUCGGAGGAAAGAGUUAUGGUCGAUUUACUUUAGCCUAUCAAAACAGUCCACCAUGGACAGAUUCGGAUUUACUUAAAUUUUAAGGGCAAUAUGGUCAUUUUCCAUCACCUCAUGGACGAAAAUUGGUCAUUAUAUACAUAUACUUAGCCUCAUAUCCAUCAUUUAUCAUCCAAAUUAUUGAAGAAUAAGAAACCCUAGCCUAAGUUCAACUCCAAUUAUCUUGUGAUUCAACCGUAGAAAAUCCAAAUUGAUUCCGUAGUUGUGUUCACCGUCUCGAGGGCUUCGAGAAGCACCCCUUAUUUGUGCCAACAGGACUUCGAAAUCAAAAGGGCCAUUUUAUAGUAAGGAUGUCAAUUAUGUUGGUGUUAUUUAUAUGGAUAUGUAUAUAUAUAUAUAUAUGCAUGUGCGCAUAAGAAGUAUGUUAUUUGAUUGUUGUUGAAAGAUGAUUGAAAAUGAUGUUGGAUUAUUCUUGUGCAUAGUUGGAUUAUGUUGAAUUGUGAAGGAAUUUGGUGUGAUGAUAUGGUAUUGAAAUGAUGAUUAUAUAUAUAUAUAUACACCUAAACCGAUUGUUCAAGUUAAUUUUUGAAAUGCUUUGCAAAUAUUGAUUGUAUGGAAUUAUGGAAGAGAAUUGUGGUGUUGGGUUGCUAAUACUAGAUGCCAAACAUUUCAUUGUAGAUAAGUGAUUUAUAAAGGCGGGAAGUUGUGUUGAAUUAGUAUCCGAAUCUACAACGAGGUAUGUAAAGCAUACUCUAACGAUGUUCUUUGGCAUGAAAACACCAAUGUUCCAUCAAGUAAGAUUCCGAGGUUGUCCAAAAACAUGUAUUGUUCUACAUUACCAACGAAGUUGUUUCCAUUCUAUAAAGUGUCAAAAUGUUUCAUUGAUAUACCGAAAGGCUCCUAUUUCAUUGUUGUGAUAUUGAUGAUUCCGAAACACAUUGUUGAUGUACCAAUGAGUCUUUAUUACAUCGUUAUUGUAUAGAAAGUCUAUUACUUGGUUCCUAUUGAUGUAUCAUUAUUCCAAAGGUACUAUAUUGGCAUGAACACUAAUGUAAUAAUCUCAAAAGCUUUUGAACUAAGUUAUUGGAAAGAUCUCUUAUGUGUGUUACUUGAUAUACGUGUGGGUGGUAGCUCAGGGGCUUAAGCCUAGCAUGGGCCGAUCCCGAUAUUUGAUAUGAUUACAGUUGAUAUGUACUGGGGGCAGCCUAAUGGUCACAGUACGGUACAGUAUUGAUUAUUGUUAGGUGGUUGGAGGUUCGGGAGGAGGAGGUAAUGGCGAAUGAUAAUUGUAAAGAAUGAAAUGAACGAAUGUAUACCGUUCCACAAAUGUGUUUGAAUUCAAGAACCCAAUUCAGAUUAAUGAUAAGAUAAUGUACAUGAUCCUAAAAGUGUUUAUGAAGUGUGGUUCACUUCUAUUAUGAUUUAUUCACUUGCGUCUGAUUUUCUUGAUCCCCCAUACCACAUAUGAUUAUUUACAGCUUUACAUACUCAGUACAUAUUUCGUACUGACGUCCCUCACGGGGGACCUGCAUUUCAUGCUGCAGGCACAGGUGCUUCAGCUCAUUCACAGCAUAGAUAGGAGCCAGGUCAUACAUCUAUUGUUGGUGAGCUCCAAUUUGCUUCGGAGCUUUCCGAGUCGGUCCCUUAUGUUUUCUUAUUGUACAGGAGUCAUGUGUCGGCGAGGGUUUGUCCCGACCCUAAUUAUGUCAUGUAUAUCCUAGAGGCUUUGUAGACAUAAGAAAGGGUAAAGUCAUGGAAGUUCAUAUAGUGAUGUUAUAUUUUUAUAUGUGGUGGCCCCGACGGCCAAGUAUUAUAUACAUAUAUAUUUGUGCGUGUUGUGCUGAUACAGGUAAUUAGACCCUUCUAUAUGCAACGAAGUGCUGGCCAAAUUUUUGGUGACAUGAAAGUGAAAGUACAGGUAUUUAAACGGGUUCUCCCGGGCCUUCUCGGCUUCGGGUGCCAGUCCGGCCCNNNNNNNNNNNNNNNNNNNNNNNNNNNNNNNNNNNNNNNNNNNNNNNNNNNNNNNNNNNNUUGUGUGUGUUGUGCUGAUACAGGUAAUUAGACUCUUCUAUAUGCAACGAAGUGCUGUCCAAAUUUUUAGUGACAUGUAAGUGAAGGUACAGGUAUUUGAACGGAUUCUUCCGGGCCUUCUCGGCUUCGGGUGCCAGUCCGGCCCGAUAGGAUUUUGGGGCGUGACAUCAUCCUAGGCUUAUGCCUAAUAUAGGACUUUGGUUUCAUUCUAUCCUAAAUGUCUAGAGUAGGUUUGAACAUUGGUUCUCAAGCGGACAACUUGAGUUUGAAAAUACGAACAGCCAUUAGACGACUCAUGUGCUAAUAAGCCGUUCGCAUUUCCAACACAUUUUGAAAUUGAACAACGGGGGCCAGGACAUCCACGAAACCCCAAAACAGUUUAAAUAAUGCAGGAAUAUGCCAUGAGAUGCGAUAGUUAAACUUUACAGAAUCGAAACAUAUAAACACAUAAACAGUUAAUCAAAAGACGAAAUCAAACAUUUGGUUAGAACCUAGUUACAAAUCCCUAGCAGAGUCGUCAUUUCUGUUUUGUUGAGAAAUUUAGACUUUUUGAGAAGAGUCGCCACUUAAUUUUGAAGAAAAAUUAAAAAAACCUUUAUAGAAUUACUUCAAAUGAUUCAAAACAGAAAAAUCAUUUUAAAUUAGAAAUUCUAGAUAAGCGGCUCCUAUUAACGUUUUAAGAAGAUGUUAGGCAACUAAAAUGUCCGCAAACUUGCAGUUAUUCGGACUAUUUGAAAACAUCUUUUGAUUAACUUCCGAAAAGAUUAAUUUGUUGAAAUAGUGAUUUGAUUUAAAAAAAAAAGAUUUGUGUAAAAUAGAUUUAGGCGACUUAAUAGAGAUUUUAACUAAGUCUAAACAAAACUAAUAAACAAAUAAACACAUAAAAGGGGAAGUGAGGAGAAAGUAAAGGAUUUAGGCCAUUGAGCCCAAAUCAACUAGACCUAUCCUAGUCUAGUUGAGAUUCCGACCCAUUUCACCUGUCCUAAACUAUUUUUCGAGCCUUUGGCUCGAGUCUUGCUCCACCUAUAUUAAAUACAACUUUGGCUUCGAGACCGAAAUAAAUGAAUAAAUAAAUGACUAAAUGAAUGAAUAAAAAGAAGACUAAUAAAAAUUGAGACUUUUCAAGUCUCUUAAUGACCUUGUCAAUGGAUUUUGACCCAUUUUCCUUCUUCGUCUAUCUUCUAGCACCCGCAUGCCAUGUACUGAACCUCGGGUUUAAACUUCGAACUUGACUCGAAGGGGUAGACCUCAUUGGCCCAUUACGGAAAUGCAAAAUGAGAGGAAUCCAUUUGGACUCGAGACAUUUUUUUUUUGCAUGCAAAGAAAAGAUAAAGAAAUUAAUAUACGUUCAAGGCAUAAAAGUGACAUAUUUCAAAGCAAAAGAAAAUAUCAAGAACCAAUUUUGAAUGAUAAGCACACUUGCACAAAAAAAAGAGUCAACAAAUAAAAUGCAAAGCAAAGACACCCACUUACAUGCCUCAUGAUUUAUGUUCAUACAAGAAUGAAUAAAGGUAAAAGAAAGAAGGCCAUAUUCAAUAAAUUAAUGCAAGAAACAAACAACGUAAGCUUGCGAAAGUAAAAGGAUAAGGCAACGAGGAAAAUACUCAUGACUUCUAAAAUUGAACAAACAUAGAUACCAAUCCAUAUAACCAAAGAAAAUAAAGGUUAACUUUUCAAGCAAGAGAAUCUUUAAAUUUCAAUUAAGGUGACAUUAACGAAAAUUCAUACAUCUAAAUUCUUUUAUAUUAUGAAUCAAUGAGAGACACGAAUCAAGUCUUUACACUCACAAAGAGCACAUAUGAUAAUCCAAAGGGCGCAAGAAAAUUAGAAUAAAAUUUAGCAUUUCUAAAAGUGAAAUAUUGUUUCACAAUCAUAAAAUGCAUGACUCAAAAAUAUCUAAAUAAUUCUAUUUAGCCACAAAAAUUUGAACUUUCUCAUCAUNNNNNNNNNNNNNNNNNNNNNNNNNNNNNNNNNNNNNNNNNNNNNNNNNNNNNNNNNNNNNNNNNNNNNNNNNNNNNNNNNNNNNNNNNNNNNNNNNNNNNNNNNNNNNNNNNNNNNNNNNNNNNNNNNNNNNNNNNNNNNNNNNNNNNNNNNNNNNNNNNNNNNNNNNNNNNNNNNNNNNNNNNNNNNNNNNNNNNNNNNNNNNNNNNNNNNNNNNNNNNNNNNNNNNNNNNNNNNNNNNNNNNNNNNNNNNNNNNNNNNNNNNNNNNNNNNNNNNNNNNNNNNNNNNNNNNNNNNNNNNNNNNNNNNNNNNNNNNNNNNNNNNNNNNNNNNNNNNNNNNNNNNNNNNNNNNNNNNNNNNNNNNNNNNNNNNNNNNNNNNNNNNNNNNNNNNNNNNNNNNNNNNNNNNNNNNNNNNNNNNNNNNNNNNNNNNNUAGGAGAAAAGGCGAAACAUUCAACAUUAACUAUUCUUUUCAACAUAAAGAAAAUAACUUUACAUGCUAAAAUCAAAUAUAUCCAACAACCAUGAGUUUAAACAAAGCAUAAAUACAUAUUUUAAGCAAAGAUUGAAACUUUAUCCAAAAUAAUCAAAGAAUAAAGUAAAAAAAAAAAAAAAAACACAUACAACUAUUGUUAGCUCAUUUUUAUAUCAUGAACAUGAAAAUAAUUAGAAUAUCGAUACCACAACGUCCUAGGGCCUUUUAAGGCCAUCUACAACAUAAAAUUCCAGCAAACAAAAUAAUAUCUACGAACUAUGAAGAAGAAAAAAGAUGAAGAAGAAAACGAUAAUAAAAACUAAAAAAAAAUGUGUUUACCUUUUUGGGGGUAGAAAAACGAGACUACGAGCUUCGUCGGAAUCAACCACCACCGAAAAAAUGUCGCAGGCAACUUGAAAUUUUUUAUUAGCCGACCAACUCUAUGAAACAAAAAUUUUUACUAAAUAAAAAUAACUAUUUUUCUCAAAAAGGAUUUUUCACCUUUCUAGCCUUUUUUUUUCCUUACUUUUUUACCAAAGUAGUGGUAGUAUUUAUAGGAGAGAAUGAGAUUUUUUUUUUCCACCAAUGUGGGAGAAAAGUAUUUAUAGGAAAGGAUGGGGAUUUAUUUCUUGUCCUCCACCAAUGUGGGAGAAAAAACAAAUAAGGGUGUUUUUGAAAUUUUAAAAUUGAAGAUAAGGUGAGAUGGAAGAUAAUGUGGGGGAAAAUUGUACAAUAUAGUACAACUUUUGAAUUUUAAAAUUGGAAAAAGACAGUUGGGGGGAAAUAGUACAAUGUAGUAUAAUUUGAAAUUAUUUUUGUUGUGAAAUUAGGUAGAAAUUAUGAGAGUUUUUGGGAAUUUUGGGGUGGAUUUAAAAUUUAGCUAUAUUUAUUUAAUUUUGACCAAAUUACAAAUCAAUUGACGGAUUGCAUUACAAUUAUGGCCAAUUUGAUUUCAAUUAUGGCCAAAUCUAAUAGAUUGGCUAAAUUAAAUUGAAAUUCGAUGCGAAUUAAUUCUUCCUUUAAUCCCGGGCUUCUUGAUUUUAUAAAAUCAAUCACAUAUUUAUACGAAUAAAUUAUUUUUUGAGAGUAAAUUAUAUUUAAAUCAAAACUUUAAUCAUUUGAAUCUAUAAGCCUUGAUUAAAAUCCGACAUUUUAAAAAAUAAAUAUUUAAGUAACAAAAUUAUAAAAUCUUCUAUAAUUGAAUACGAUAAAUUAUAAUCACUACUUAAAAUGACAAAAUUACGUACAAAUAUAUUUAAUAAAUUUUUAUUCGGAUGAAAUAAAUAUUUUAAUUUUAUUAAAAAUCAAAGAAACUUAGAAUUAAAUUUAAUCGUGGAGGGAAAAAAUUAGGUGUCAACAAGGACAUCCAAUUCUCAAUCCAAAAAGGUUUGGUGUGGAUGACGUCGAAGGCAUAGAUGAAAAGCUACUAUGCAGACUAUUUUGGGAAGAAGGGGUGUGAAACUGGUCAGACGGUCGGAGCAUGAAAAAUGUAUUUGAUAGUGAAAUAGUUGAUUUAGGGGGAGACGUAAGAUUUGUAGUAGUUGGUUGAAGAGUUAUGGUAACAAGUGGUGGUGGUGGUGUACAUUGAAUAUUGACCCGCAGGAAGAUUAUUAGGCCCUUUCUUACAUUUUUUACGUCGUCCAUUAACAUUACCUUUUGAUGCCAUUGAUUUUCUUUACUAACCACCU